UGUCCAUGCCAAAGAUCCUUGGAAAGUCCA
RNAcentral lists this non-coding RNA (30 nucleotides) under Mus musculus (house mouse). The record is from RNAcentral. Lineage: Eukaryota; Metazoa; Chordata; Mammalia; Rodentia; Muridae.